Molecule: small RNA, 524 nt
Filed under: Pan troglodytes (chimpanzee)
Lineage: Eukaryota; Metazoa; Chordata; Mammalia; Primates; Hominidae
Description: processed transcript
Source: RNAcentral
AAAACCAAGUUGUCUUGGAACAAAGAUGGCAUUCUCCAUGGAGUCAGAUAUCAGGAUGGGAAUCUGGUGAUCCAAUUCCCUGAUUACUGUGGCAUGAUCCUCCACCAUUCACACUCUACCCUGGACUCUGGGAAGGGACACUGCUGCCUUGAAACUCUACAACCCUGAACCUUGAUGCUGGUUGCUGCAGACAAGAACUGCUUCUACCCUGGGUCACUGUCACUGCUAAGUGGAAAGUCAUGAACUUGAUGGUACCAGUCACUCUGGGCCUAAACCGACAUAGCCAGGAAACGGUUCACCCCCAACAAACAGAAUCAUCUAGACCUGUCCAUGAUUUGGAAUCGUGGCCCAACACUUCCUGGCCCCAGAGAGAGAAAAAAGUCUGACCACCCCCUACUCAAAGUGCCAACUCAUUUCCUUCCCAGAAUUAAUCACUUCCCAAAAUGUAUGACUGUGUGAACAUCAAUUCCCUUCAGGGGAAAACCCCACUCCCACCUCUCAGGCUGUCAUCUUACCCUAUGACC